Non-coding RNA from Pelobates cultripes (western spadefoot toad), 310 nucleotides. NCBI's taxonomy places the organism in Eukaryota, Metazoa, Chordata, Amphibia, Anura, Pelobatidae. The record is from the annotation of a GenBank genome assembly.
AAACAGUGCCGAAGUCUUUGUGAAAGUGGGUAAUCCUAGUGCUUUGCUAGGCCAAGCGUCCCUCAACCACCUGUCUUCGAAGAUGGCUGUGAAACCUGCGUAACCUGCAGCAUCCGUCCAUAACACAGGGGAGUUUGUCAACGGUGGUAUGAACAAGUUUCUCCCAUUCCAGUCCGACAGGAAAUGGUACCACCUGGUCAGAUGCGCCCUAGCCUGAAUGUUCAGUGUAACCCUGCUGUUGUUGUUGGGUAAGUUGGGUAACAAACCGAGUAGACGUGAGAUGAACGCUCGUCUCAUGGCGAAGUUGUUG